CCUACGGGAGGCAGCAGUGAGGAAUAUUGGUCAAUGGACGAGAGUCUGAACCAGCCAAGUAGCGUGAAGGAUGACUGCCCUAUGGGUUGUAAACUUCUUUUAUAUGGGAAUAAAACGUUCCACGUGUGGGAUUUUGUAUGUACCAUAUGAAUAAGGAUCGGCUAACUCCGUGCCAGCAGCCGCGGUAAUACGGAGGAUCCGAGCGUUAUCCGGAUUUAUUGGGUUUAAAGGGAGCGUAGGUGGAUUGUUAGGUCAGUUGUGAAAGUUUGCGGCUCAACCGUAAAAUUGCAGUUGAAACUGGCAGUCUUGAGUACAGUAGAGGUGGGCGGAAUUCGUGGUGUAGCGGUGAAAUGCUUAGAUAUCACGAAGAACUCCGAUUGCGAAGGCAGUUCACUGGACUGCAACUGACACUGAGGCUCGAAAGUGUGGGUAUCAAACAGGAUUAGAUACCCCGGUAGUC
RNAcentral lists this ribosomal RNA (460 nucleotides) under uncultured bacterium. RNAcentral describes it as "partial 16S ribosomal RNA". It matches the Rfam family "Bacterial small subunit ribosomal RNA", at positions 338 to 795 of the family's 1533-position model. The record is from RNAcentral.